RNAcentral lists this ribosomal RNA (490 nucleotides) under uncultured bacterium. RNAcentral's name for it is "partial 16S ribosomal RNA". It matches the Rfam family "Bacterial small subunit ribosomal RNA", at positions 29 to 507 of the family's 1533-position model. The record is from RNAcentral.
AGUGAACGCUGGCGGUAGGCCUAACACAUGCAAGUCGAACGGCAGCACAGGAGAUCUUGCUCUCUAGGUGGCGAGUGGCGGACGGGUGAGGAAUACAUCGGAAUCUGCCCAGUCGUGGGGGAUAACGUAGGGAAACUUACGCUAAUACCGCAUACGACCUUCGGUUGAAAGAGGGGGAUCGCAAGACCUCUCGCGAUUGGAUGAGCCGAUGUCGGAUUAGCUAGUUAGCGGGGUAAUGGCCCACCAAGGCGACGAUCCGUAGCUGGUCUGAGAGGAUGAUCCGACAGCUUGGAACUGAGAAACGGCCCCGACUCCUACGGGAGGACGCAGUGGGGAAUACUGGACAAUGGGGGAAAGCCUGAUCCAGCCCUACCGGGUGGGUGAAGAAGGCCUUAGGGUUGUAAAGCCCUUUUGUUGGGAAAGAAAUCUUUCAGGCUAAUACCCUGGGAGGAUGACGGUACCCAAAGAAUAAGCACCGGCUAACUUCGUG